GCCUGGCUGGCUCAGUUGGUAGAGCAUGUGACUCUUGAUGUCAAGGUUGUCGGUUUAAACCCCAUGUUGGGUG
RNAcentral lists this transfer RNA (73 nucleotides) under Felis catus (domestic cat). It matches the Rfam family "tRNA". From Rfam's summary of the family: Transfer RNA (tRNA) molecules are approximately 80 nucleotides in length. Their secondary structure includes four short double-helical elements and three loops (D, anti-codon, and T loops). Lineage: Eukaryota; Metazoa; Chordata; Mammalia; Carnivora; Felidae. The record is from Rfam by way of RNAcentral.